Non-coding RNA from Ictidomys tridecemlineatus (thirteen-lined ground squirrel), 72 nucleotides. NCBI's taxonomy places the organism in Eukaryota, Metazoa, Chordata, Mammalia, Rodentia, Sciuridae. The record is from Rfam.
GGGGUUGUGGCUCAGUGGCAGAGCACUUGCCUAGCAUGUGUGAGGCACUGGGUUCGAUUCUCAGCAUCUCAU